ACGAACGCUGGCGGCGUGCUUAACACAUGCAAGUCGAACGGUGAAGCGCCUUCCUUUUUGGUGGGUGUGGAUGAGUGGCGCACGGGUGAGUAACACGUGAGUAACCUGCCCCCUUCUUCUGGAUAACCGCAUGAAAGUGUGGCUAAUACGGGAUAUUCUGGGUCUGUCGCAUGAUGGGUCUGGGAAAGAUAUUGUUUCGGUGGGGGAUGGGCUCGCGGCCUAUCAGCUUGUUGGGGGGGUGAUGGCCUACCAAGGCGGUGACGGGUAGCCGGCCUGAGAGGGUGGACGGUCACACUGGGACUGAGACACGGCCCAGACUCCUACGGGAGGCAGCAGUGGGGAAUAUUGCACAAUGGGCGCAAGCCUGAUGCAGCGACGCCGCGUGAGGGAUGGAGGCCUUCGGGUUGUGAACCUCUUUCGCCAGUGAAGCAGGCCUGCCUCGUUUGUGGGUGGGUUGACGGUAGCUGGAUAAGAAGCGCCGGCUAACUACGUG
This 493-nucleotide ribosomal RNA is filed under the name uncultured bacterium. Its description in RNAcentral is "partial 16S ribosomal RNA". It matches the Rfam family "Bacterial small subunit ribosomal RNA", at positions 29 to 507 of the family's 1533-position model. The record is from RNAcentral.